AUUGAACGCUGGCGGCAGGCUUAACACAUGCAAGUCGAGCGAGCGGCGGACGGGUGAGUAAUGUCUGGGAAACUGCCUGAUGGAGGGGGAUAACUACUGGAAACGGUAGCUAAUACCGCAUACCAUCAGAUUUGCCCAGAUGGGAUUGGCUAGUAGGUGGGGUAAUGGCUCACCUAGGUGACGAUCCAUAGCUGGUCUGAGAGGAUGACCAGCCACACUGGAACUGAGACACGGGCCAGACACCGACGGGAGGAAGCAGUGGGGAAUGUUGAACCAGGGGCGCAAGAGUGAUGCAACGAUCCCGCGUGUGUGAAGAAGGCCUUCAGGUUGUAAAGAACUUAAAGUGAGGAGGCGUUAAUCGCAGAAGAAGCACCGGCAAACUCCGUGCCAGCAGCAGCGGUAAUAC
This 406-nucleotide ribosomal RNA is filed under the name uncultured bacterium. RNAcentral's name for it is "partial 16S ribosomal RNA". It matches the Rfam family "Bacterial small subunit ribosomal RNA", at positions 29 to 526 of the family's 1533-position model. The record is from RNAcentral.